GUGACAUCCGUAUGGGGCAGGACUUGUUUCAGUGGGGCUUUGGUACUCAGUGAGUCUGCUCCUUGAGUGUGUCACU
RNAcentral lists this microRNA precursor (76 nucleotides) under Myotis lucifugus (little brown bat). RNAcentral describes it as "mir-9229 microRNA precursor family". It matches the Rfam family "mir-9229 microRNA precursor family". Lineage: Eukaryota; Metazoa; Chordata; Mammalia; Chiroptera; Vespertilionidae. The record is from Rfam by way of RNAcentral.